Molecule: ribosomal RNA, 207 nt
Filed under: uncultured bacterium
Lineage: Bacteria
Description: partial 16S ribosomal RNA
Rfam family: Bacterial small subunit ribosomal RNA
Source: RNAcentral
CACGUAGGCGGAUAUUUAAGUCAGGGGUGAAAUCCCGCAGCUCAACUGCGGAACUGCCUUUGAUACUGGGUAUCUUGAGUAUGGAAGAGGUAAGUGGAAUUCCGAGUGUAGAGGUGAAAUUCGUAGAUAUUCGGAGGAACACCAGUGGCGAAGGCGGCUUACUGGUCCAUUACUGACGCUGAGGUGCGAAAGCGUGGGGAGCAAACA